RNAcentral lists this ribosomal RNA (202 nucleotides) under Neoponera unidentata. RNAcentral's name for it is "partial large subunit ribosomal RNA". The record is from RNAcentral. Lineage: Eukaryota; Metazoa; Arthropoda; Insecta; Hymenoptera; Formicidae.
GAAUUUAAUAUAAUUUUAAUUUAAUAAAUAAAUUAAGUUAUAUUUAAUUGGGAGGAUUAUUAAAUUUAAAAAACUUUAAUUAAAUAAUAAAUACUUUGAUAAAAGGCAUAUAAAUAAAUAAUUUUUAAUUAAUUAAGAAUUAAUUACCUUAGGGAUAACAGCAUAAUAUUUUUUUAUAGAUCAUAUAUAAAAAAUUGUUUAU